This 509-nucleotide ribosomal RNA is filed under the name uncultured bacterium. RNAcentral's name for it is "partial 16S ribosomal RNA". It matches the Rfam family "Bacterial small subunit ribosomal RNA", at positions 899 to 1397 of the family's 1533-position model. The record is from RNAcentral.
ACUCAAAUGAAUAGACGGGGGCUCACACAAGCGGUGGAGCAUGCGGCUUAAUUCGAAGCAACGCGAAGAACCUUACCUGGGCUUGACAUGCAGGAAUGCCCUUUGGGGAUAACUCAGAGGGCUGCCCUUCGGGGUGAAGCCUGCACAGGUGUUGCACGGCUGUCGUCAGCUCGUGCUGUGAAGUGUCGGGUUAAGUCCCUUAACGAGCGAAACCCCUGUCGCUAGUUGCCAGCGAGUCAUGUCGGGGACUCUAGCGAGACUGCCGGCGUUAAGCCGGAGGAAGGCGGGGACGACGUCAAGUCAUCGUGGCCCUUAUGUCCAGGGAUGCACGCGUGCUACAAUGGCAGUUACAGAGGGACGCAAGACCGCGAGGUGGAGCAAAUCCCAAAAAAACUGCCCCAGUUCAGAUCGGAGGCUGCAAUUCGCCUCCGUGAAGUUGGAAUCGCUAGUAAUCGCGCAUCAGCUACGGCGCGGUGAAUGUGUUCCUGAGCCUUGUACACACCGCCCGU